UGCAGCCCUGUCAAAUUCAGUACUCACCCCUGCCCUGGUCGGCUGCCACAGCAACAUCUGUAGUUCAUGGGCCCCACAUCUCUACCACUGGGUGCUGGGGAUACAAAUAUGCUACAGCCUGUG
Mauremys mutica (yellowpond turtle) is the source of this 123-nucleotide small nucleolar RNA. RefSeq annotates it as small nucleolar RNA SNORA5. Lineage: Eukaryota; Metazoa; Chordata; Testudines; Geoemydidae. The record is from RefSeq and is a predicted model, not a curated record. The transcript has a single exon.